Molecule: long non-coding RNA, 335 nt
Organism: Syngnathus typhle (broad-nosed pipefish)
Lineage: Eukaryota; Metazoa; Chordata; Actinopteri; Syngnathiformes; Syngnathidae
Exons: 3
Source: RefSeq, a predicted model, not a curated record
CAAUGUUCAUGCUCUCGUUGGCAUAACGCAUGGUGAUGAUGUCGUACAGUUGGUUAUUGAGGCGGAAGCCUGAACGGGACACAAGACACAUGACUGCACAGUGACAAGAACAUUCACAACAGGCUGUCAAUGCUACCCGACUGGUCGGGGUUGUAUUGCUUAAAGAUUCCCUAGAAUGGAAGAGUGUUCAAAAGUGGCGGAACUCUUGAAGGUUAAGGCGACUCGUCCCGUCCAUCUGAGCCCGUUCAGUUAAGGUAGGCCUAUAACCUUUCUAACAUUUCUUUAAAAUAAAGAAUUUAUGUACUGUUAAAUUGUGUGUAUACGUGUUUUUGUGG